GAAGCAAUCAGGAAACAACAGUUAAAAAAAAAGAAGCCAAAAUACCCUGAGGGCUGGAUCUGACUUCCAGCUUGACAGUGAUAAGAGUAGAGACUGUGCAGCAUGCCGCUUCAGAUGACACACUGAGUGGACAUGGAUCACAGAGUGCUUUUUAUGUUGCUGUCUCUCUGCAGCCCAGUAAUUCCUGAUAAAUGGUUGGUGGGAGGGGCCACCUAUUGUUCCGGUAGACUCAAGAAAGAAGAGGGAACAUCGACCAGAGAGGACAAGCAUGAGAACCUGCAGCUGAGAACAGCAGCUGAAGUGUGCAUAAAGCUCGACUGUGGAUCUGUUGUUUCUUUGCUCAUAACAAAGAGAACCUUCCUAUCUGACAACACAAACCAUGAACCAUAUGUGUUCCUGAGAUAUAAUUCUAUCGACGUUAAUAUCACAUGUUCAGAAUCUGUCAGGCUGGUCAAUGGAACUGACCUGUGUUCAGGCAGACUGGAGGUAAAGUUUGACCAAUCAUGGUCAUCUGUGUGUGAAGAUAACUUUGACCAGCGAGAAAGAG
Molecule: long non-coding RNA, 547 nt
Filed under: Echeneis naucrates (live sharksucker)
Lineage: Eukaryota; Metazoa; Chordata; Actinopteri; Carangiformes; Echeneidae
Description: lncRNA (ENSENLG00000015171.1)
Source: RNAcentral